RNAcentral lists this long non-coding RNA (522 nucleotides) under Eucalyptus grandis. Its description in RNAcentral is "long non-coding RNA (EGRA_LNC007358)". The record is from RNAcentral. Lineage: Eukaryota; Viridiplantae; Streptophyta; Magnoliopsida; Myrtales; Myrtaceae.
CUAGGGUGGCCUUGAACCACAUGGCACGUCGGCGGGGGGAAGAUUUCCGGCGGAGAGGAGGAUUUACGGCCGAGGAUUGAACCCGAGAGAACGUUCUUCGGGGCGGCCGCACUGAGAGUGGUGAGAGAUGGGAAGAAGGAUGGAGAUGGUCGAGGUGGCUUGGUCGAGUCUAUCUGAGGAGAAGGAGCGGCGCUCCCAGAAAAAGAAAAGCCCCCGCUCUCUUUCUUUCCUUUCGCCUCUCCCCUUCUCCCUCUGAAAUCUCUCUUCCUCAAAGCGUUCCUCUCUCUCCCCCUUGCGAUAUGGUUUCAGCCAAGAAAGAAAAGAUGCCCCACCCGUCUCUGUGUGAGGAUAGCUUCCAAAGAACCCCAGAACAUUUUGAUGCAGCCUUCUGCGAUUCCCCAAAAAACCAGUGAGCCCCCUUUUGCUUUCCCUCAGCGAGCGCUCCCUGUAUUUCCUUCAAGCUUUCCCUCUUCUGUGAAAGUUCCAGGCAGUGCAAGCAAGAAGAAUGUUCUACUCUCACCA